Pyrus x bretschneideri (Chinese white pear) is the source of this 449-nucleotide long non-coding RNA. RefSeq lists it as uncharacterized. The transcript has 2 exons. The record is from RefSeq and is a predicted model, not a curated record. Lineage: Eukaryota; Viridiplantae; Streptophyta; Magnoliopsida; Rosales; Rosaceae.
UCAAUAUAUCUGAUUUUGCAUAGUCUGAAAGCAAAUAAGUCUUUGGUCCAACCCGUGGCAUGGAGUAUGCUGUUAUCUGAUCAGUUGAUAAUCACAAGCAUACUAUUUACGCGUAUCAGUGUUGAAAAUAAUGUAAUCACUCCAGAUUUGGUUCUUAUUUCGGGUGAUGGUGAGCUCGAAAUCUGGAGCUGGUAUUCGAAGUUUAAGAACAGCGCUAGCGAAGAUUGCCCGUCUUGCCAAAGUCUAAUAUGCAGCAUCAGAUUGUUCGCCUAUACAGAUUGAGCAGGGCGCGCCGAAAUGGUUUGGCAAUGCCUGUCUCGAUUAGCAGGACGACAUUGAGUUGACAUUUGGCGAGUUACAUGAGAAUUAGUUUUGUAGAUUCUAGUUUAUUUCUUACAUCUUAAGUUUUUAAAUUGAAGGUUACAUUUGAUUGCAGACAUUUUAAGAUA